ACGGGGUGCAGCAGGCGCGAAACCUUUACAAUGCACGAAAGUGUGAUAAGGGGAUCCCAAGUGUUCAUGUACUGCAUGAACUUUUGCCAAGAGUAAAUAUCUUGGCGAAUAAGUGGUGGGAAAGACUGGUGCCAGCAGCCGCGGUAACACCAGCGCCACGAGUGGCAUCCACAAUUAUUGGCCUAAAGCGUCCGUAGCCGGAAGUGUAAAUCCUUUGUGAAAUCGUAGGGCUUAACUCUACGUCGUGCAGGGGACACUACAUUUCUUGGAACCGGGAGGAGUCAGAGGUAUUCUGGGGGGG
RNAcentral lists this ribosomal RNA (301 nucleotides) under uncultured archaeon. RNAcentral's name for it is "bacterial SSU rRNA". It matches the Rfam family "Archaeal small subunit ribosomal RNA", at positions 325 to 628 of the family's 1478-position model. The record is from RNAcentral.